RNAcentral lists this ribosomal RNA (352 nucleotides) under uncultured bacterium. RNAcentral describes it as "bacterial SSU rRNA". It matches the Rfam family "Bacterial small subunit ribosomal RNA", at positions 8 to 354 of the family's 1533-position model. The record is from RNAcentral.
AGAGUUUGAUCCUGGCUCAGAUUGAACGCUGGCGGCAGGCCUAACACAUGCAAGUCGAGCGGCAGCGGGAAAGUAGCUUGCUACUAUUGCCGGCGAGCGGCGGACGGGUGAGUAAUGCCUGGGGAUCUGCCCAGUCGAGGGGGAUAACUACUGGAAACGGUAGCUAAUACCGCAUACGCCCUACGGGGGAAAGCAGGGGACCUUCGGGCCUUGCGCGAUUGGAUGAACCCAGGUGGGAUUAGCUAGUUGGUGAGGUAAUGGCUCACCAAGGCGACGAUCCCUAGCUGGUCUGAGAGGAUGAUCAGCCACACUGGAACUGAGACACGGUCCAGACUCCUACGGGAGGCAGCAG